UGUAGCUUCAUUUUCUAAUUUUCCGAUCUUGUUAAAAUGUCAAACGGUUUGUGCCAGAGUAGGUAGCGACAAUAACAACAGAAAGCUGCGGAUUGAGAGGGAUUCACCAAUGUACUGGUAAUGUAUGUAAAGUAAUGUAUGUAAAGUAAUGUAUGUAAAGUAAUGUAUGUAAAGUAAUGUGUGUAACCUGAGUAUCAGGCCCUCGGUAUUGAAGAGAACCUGACACAAUUCGCCUCUACGGGCUUUCCACCCCCAGAAUAUAAGCCAAUUAAAAUUAUUUCCGGUCGUAGCAUAUUUCCGGUUGUCCGCUACAUGUAUGUAAAAUUGUAAAUACGCAAAUUUCG
Paramuricea clavata is the source of this 344-nucleotide non-coding RNA. The record is from the annotation of a GenBank genome assembly. Lineage: Eukaryota; Metazoa; Cnidaria; Anthozoa; Malacalcyonacea; Plexauridae.